AUUGAACGCUGGCGGCAGGCCUAACACAUGCAAGUCGAGCGGAGCGGCGGACGGGCGAGUAAUGCCUAGGAAUCUGCCUGGCAGUUGGGGAUAACGUCCGGAAACGGGCGCUAAUACCGCCUGCUUGCAGAUGAGCCUAGGUCGGAUUAGCUAGUUGGUGGGGUAAAGGCCUACCAAGGCGACGAUCCGUAACUGGUCUGAGAGGAUGAUCAGUCACACUGGAACUGAGACACGGUCCAGACUCCUACGGGAGGCAGCAGUGGGGAAUAUUGGACAAUGGGCGAAAGCCUGAUCCAGCCAUGCCGCGUGUAUGAAGAAGGCCUUCGGGUUGUAAAGUACUUUCAGCGGGGAGGCGUUACCCGCAGAAGAAGCACCGGCUAACUCCGUGCCAGCAGCCGCGGUAAUAC
RNAcentral lists this ribosomal RNA (407 nucleotides) under uncultured bacterium. RNAcentral describes it as "partial 16S ribosomal RNA". It matches the Rfam family "Bacterial small subunit ribosomal RNA", at positions 30 to 526 of the family's 1533-position model. The record is from RNAcentral.